This is a long non-coding RNA of Camelus dromedarius (Arabian camel), 2694 nucleotides long. RefSeq lists it as uncharacterized. The record is from RefSeq and is a predicted model, not a curated record. The transcript has 4 exons. NCBI's taxonomy places the organism in Eukaryota, Metazoa, Chordata, Mammalia, Artiodactyla, Camelidae.
UUGCUGCAGGAGGGAAAACAGGCUUAUUUCAUGGUAUAAAGCCUGGAGCCAUAUUUCAUACCCAGGGCUGCUGGGCUAAGGUGUUUUGAGGCCUUAAGCACUGAAAAUGUGAUGGUGAUACUGCCUGUCCCCUUCCCCAUGCUGGUCCCAAGUCAGAGCAAUGCAAAACCAGGAAGUAAGUGGCAGGACCCUCCACAAGCUCUUCCACCACCCGGGCUGAGAGGGAGUGGGCGAGGAGGAGCAGGAGGGAGAGGUCACAAAGGGUCCUGAGGACACCUGGGGAGGUGAUGAGUAGGUUCAUGGUCUUGACUGUGGUGACGGCUCCACAGGUAUAUACAUACGUCAAACGUGUCAAAUGGUACACUUUAAAAAUGUACCAUAAAUGCAGCUUAUGUCAAUCAUACCUCGGUAAAACUGUUUUUAAAUGAAAUAACAAAUAUCAAAUAUUUUGUUUGUUUUCAGGUGUUCCCCUGCUUGACCCACAGCCGGUUGGAAAUCCAGCCCUGCCACGCCCACGCUCCCUGCGAGGGCAAUGCCAGCUUUCAGAAUCCCAUAGGGAGAGCUUCCCCCGUCUCUGAGGGUGAGAGGCUGUCUCUCUGUGCCCUGUGCGACCUGCAGAGAGGUUCUGAGACCCUUCCUGGAGAAGGCUUCUGAGUCUUCUAGCUCCUGGGCAGGGCGUUUCUUAAUGCUCCUCAUCACCCAGAAAUGCCUUCUUUCAUUGCUCCCAGCUCUUGCUUUUGGUAGCAUGGGAGAAAGGACACCAGUGGCCAUAGCCUUAAAGGCCCAAAGGAUGAUGAGAGUUGCCCGCCCCCGUCCCGGGCACAGGGGAUGUGGCCAGAGGGGAGUGGCUAGAGCCUCACUCCUCUUGGUCUGAACAAGCUCUUGGCUUCCGCACCACCCAGGCAGACGGCACAAAGGCUGCUCCCCAUUCCUGCCCUCUCCUCUUGCCCUUCUGCCUGGCCUGGCCCCUUUCCCCCACUGCUCUCCCUGCCCCGUCCCCCCCGGCUGUCCUUCCUGAGCUGGUUCAGACACCAGAGAGCCAGAAGGGCCUGGCGAGAGAAGGCUCUCUGGGAGGGAUCCCUCUGGUUCCUGCCACAGGGAGAAGCAGGGUGCAACUGUGAGAUAAAUAAAAAUGAUAAUGUGUGUCCCCCUCACCAUGGGUGAGCUGGCAAGAAAGCCCGCCCAAGCCAAGGUGCAGACAGCACAUGGGGAGAGAAGGCGCGGGGGCCUGUGGGACGUGGGAACAGGAUGUGGAGGCUGCUUACCUCCCCCCCACCUCCGCCCGCUCGAUAGACCCACACUAGUGCGCAUCCCCUCUGGGGUCCUCAGAGCUCUCUAGACUCCAGAAACAGUUGUGCUAACAGAAGGAUUCCAAAGCACCGUAUUGAGCAAUGCCACAAGCAGGCUGAGAGAAUUCUUGUGAAGUCUGCAAAUGGACUGAGAGCAGCUUUUCUGAGGAGGUUAACAGGAUUAAGGAAAAGGUCCAGACAUGGUCUCCAGCCAACCGGCAGACUCGAAAAUUCAGAUGAAAAGGAAGAGUGAAACCACAUUUCUUAGACUUGGAGUUAUACUGGGGACACGCGGCUGCAAUUUGAUUAAUAAUAGAAUCUGGUCGAAAUUGAGAAAAAGGCUUUGGUCUUCUAUGCCUUCCUUGAGUUCCAAAGAGCAGACUCGAGCAGUUACUAAUGAAGGAAUGCAGAAACAAAGGAAAAGCAGUCAAGAAACACUAGUUCAGCGAUAAAACAGAGUACUUGUUUCUCCUCUUGGGAUGCGCAUACAAUCUGACACGUAUCUUUGAGUUGUUGGGCAAGAACUACGACCCCCAUCGAGGAGGAGGAGGAGGAGGAGGAGGAGGGUGAUACAUGCUGACCACAGUGCAUAGACCCCAGACUGGCUGGAACCAAAGACUUGAUAAUAAAGAGUCCCAAACGCCACUGUGUUACCUCACCACUACCAACUAAUCAGAAGAAAUUCAUGUCACCUGCAAUCCUCACCCCAAAUGUUGCCUUAAAAAAAAAAAAACCGACUUCCCUGCAAGCCACGGGGGAGUCUGGGUGUUUUGAGCAUGAGCUGCCUGUUCUCCUUGCUUGGCGCCUGCAGUAGACGCAGUACUUGCCCUCACCACAACCCGCCAUCAGACUGGCUUUGCUGCGUGUUGGACGGGACAAGGGGAUCCAAGUUCAGUUCAGUUUAGUAAAAGAAUUAUUGUAUUCUUGUAGGGAAUUGUAUUAUUGUAGGGAAAUGGCUUACUUGAAUGAAAAAAAUUGCUUUUAAGGCAGGACAAGAAAAAUUUUAAACAUAAAAUUCUCUGCCAGUUUGAGGCACUCCUCCCUCCCCUGCAGUGUGCAUUGUGCACCUGCGCGAUACAUUAACUACAUCCCCUUAGAAGACACAGGGAUGCCUACUAACCGCCUCCCCCACCCCCCGCCAAAAACUCCUGACGCCAGCAAGGUGACUCCUUAGAAGAUAACAUUCCUUUCUCAAUCCUGUAAGGGGUCACAAUAACUCACUACUCGCCUUGUUGGACUGUGUAAACCAUCAACAUGUUACUUUGAUGUAUAACCCUUUGUCUCAAAAACUUACGUAUGCUUGACCUCUAGCAGGCAGAACAGUCUUCAGAGCUUUCUACAAGACGGUCCUGGGUUUUAAUCCUCAGGUUGGCUCAAAUAAAAGUUCUAUUUCUUUCUAAAUUGA